This 450-nucleotide ribosomal RNA is filed under the name uncultured bacterium. Its description in RNAcentral is "partial 16S ribosomal RNA". It matches the Rfam family "Bacterial small subunit ribosomal RNA", at positions 354 to 796 of the family's 1533-position model. The record is from RNAcentral.
GUGGGGAAUAUUGGACAAUGGGCGAAAGCCUGAUCCAGCCAUGCCGCGUGUGUGAAGAAGGUCUUCGGAUUGUAAAGCACUUUAAGUUGGGAGGAAGGGCAUUAACCUAAUACGUUAGUGUUUUGACGUUACCAACAGAAUAAGCACCGGCUAACUUCGUGCCAGCAGCCGCGGUAAUACGAAGGGUGCAAGCGUUAAUCGGAAUUACUGGGCGUAAAGCGCGCGUAGGUGGUUUUGUAAGUUGGAGGUGAAAUCCCCGGGCUCAACCUGGGAACUGCCUCCAAAACUGCAUGACUAGAGUACGGUAGAGGGUAGUGGAAUUUCCUGUGUAGCGGUGAAAUGCGUAGAUAUAGGAAGGAACACCAGUGGCGAAGGCGACUACCUGGACUGAUACUGACACUGAGGUGCGAAAGCGUGGGGAGCAAACAGGAUUAGAUACCCCUGUAGUCC